CAGCCGCCACGGUAAUACGGAGGGGGCUAGCGUUGUUCGGAAUUACUGGGCGUAAAGCGCACGUAGGCGGCUUGGUAAGUUAGAGGUGAAAGCCCGGAGCUCAACUCCGGAAUUGCCUUUAAGACUGCCGAGCUAGCAGGUGAGAGAGGUAAGUGGAAUUCCGAGUGUAGAGGUGAAAUUCGUAGAUAUUCGGAAGAACACCAGUGGCGAAGGCGGCUUACUGGCUCAUACUGGACGCUGAGGUGCGAAAGCGUGGGGAGCAAACAGGAUUAGAUACCCCAGUAGUCCCUGUCUCUUAUAA
This 301-nucleotide ribosomal RNA is filed under the name uncultured bacterium. Its description in RNAcentral is "partial 16S ribosomal RNA". It matches the Rfam family "Bacterial small subunit ribosomal RNA", at positions 509 to 809 of the family's 1533-position model. The record is from RNAcentral.